RNAcentral lists this ribosomal RNA (463 nucleotides) under uncultured bacterium. RNAcentral describes it as "partial 16S ribosomal RNA". It matches the Rfam family "Bacterial small subunit ribosomal RNA", at positions 28 to 507 of the family's 1533-position model. The record is from RNAcentral.
GAUGAACGCUGCCAGAAUGCUUAACACAUGCAAGUCGAUGGGGAAGUGGUGCUUGCACCAUGGCAACCAUGGCGGACGGGUGAGUAACGCGUAAGGGACUUACCUGCAGGACUGGGAUAGCAGGGGGAAACUCCUGACAAGACCGGAUAAUGUCAUGGAGCUGCAUGGCUUUAUGAUGAAAGGAGACGCCUGCGGAGAGCCUUGCGUCCUAUUAGCUAGUUGGUGAGGUAAUGGCUCACCAAGGCGAAGAUAGGUAGCCGGCCUGAGAGGGUGGACGGCCACAAGGGGACUGAGAUACGGCCCUUACUCCUACGGGAGGCAGCAGUGGGGAAUAUUGGACAAUGGGGGCAACCCUGAUCCAGCAAUUCUGUGUGCAUGAAGAAGGUUUUCGGAUUGUAAAGUGCUUUCAGCAGGGAAGAAGUAAGUGACGGUACCUGCAGAAGAAGCGACGGCUAAAUACGUG